UCCCUGGUGGCUCAGUGGUAAAGAACCUGCCUGCUAAGCAGGAGAUCUGGGUUCAAUCCCUGGGUUAGGAA
This 71-nucleotide transfer RNA is filed under the name Ovis aries (sheep). It matches the Rfam family "tRNA". Rfam says of the family: Transfer RNA (tRNA) molecules are approximately 80 nucleotides in length. Their secondary structure includes four short double-helical elements and three loops (D, anti-codon, and T loops). The record is from Rfam by way of RNAcentral. Lineage: Eukaryota; Metazoa; Chordata; Mammalia; Artiodactyla; Bovidae.